This 386-nucleotide ribosomal RNA is filed under the name uncultured bacterium. RNAcentral's name for it is "bacterial SSU rRNA". It matches the Rfam family "Bacterial small subunit ribosomal RNA", at positions 29 to 416 of the family's 1533-position model. The record is from RNAcentral.
AUUGAACGCUGGCGGCAUGCCUAACACAUGCAAGUCGAACGGCAGCGCGGGGGCAACCCUGGCGGCGAGUGGCGGACGGGUGAGGAAUGCAUCGGAAUCUGCCUGGUUGUGGGGGAUAACGUAGGGAAACUUACGCUAAUACCGCAUACGACCUGAGGGUGAAAGUGGGGGACCGCAAGGCCUCACGCGAUCAGAGGAGCCGAUGCCGGAUUAGCUAGUUGGCGGGGUAAAGGCCCACCAAGGCGACGAUCCGUAGCUGGUCUGAGAGGAUGAUCAGCCACACUGGAACUGAGACACGGUCCAGACUCCUACGGGAGGCAGCAGUGGGGAAUAUUGGACAAUGGGCGCAAGCCUGAUCCAGCAAUGCCGCGUGUGUGAAGAAGGCC